RNAcentral lists this ribosomal RNA (253 nucleotides) under uncultured bacterium. Its description in RNAcentral is "partial 16S ribosomal RNA". It matches the Rfam family "Bacterial small subunit ribosomal RNA", at positions 524 to 776 of the family's 1533-position model. The record is from RNAcentral.
UACGUAGGGGGCAAGCGUUGUCCGGAAUCAUUGGGCGUAAAGCGCGCGUAGGCGGCCCGGUAAGUCCGCUGUAAAAGUCAAAGGCUCAACCUUUGAAUGUCGAUGGAUACUGCCGGGCUAGAGUCCGGAAGAGGCGAGUGGAAUUCCUGGUGUAGCGGUGGAAUGCGCAGAUAUCAGGAGGAACACCAAUAGCGAAGGCAGCUCGCUGGGACGGUACUGACGCUAAGGCGCGAAAGCGUGGGGAGCGAACAGG